CCUACGGGAGGCAGCAGUGGGGGAUAUUGCACAAUGGGGGAAACCCUGAUGCAGCGACGCCGCGUGAGUGAAGAAGUAUUUCGGUAUGUAAAGCUCUAUCAGCAGGGAAGAAAAUGACAGUACCUGACCAAGAAGCCCCGGCUAACUACGUGCCCGCAGCCGCGGUAAUACGUAGGGGGCAAGCGUUAUCCGGAUUUACUGGGUGUAAAGGGAGCGUAGACGGUGAUGUAAGUCUGGAGUGAAAGCCCGGGGCCCAACCCCGGGACUGCUUUGGAAACUGUGUAACUGGAGUGCAGGAGGGGCAGGCGGAAUUCCUGGUGUAGCGGUGAAAUGCGUAGAUAUCAGGAGGAACACCGGCGGCGAAGGCGGCCUGCUGGACUGAAACUGACGUUGAGGCUCGAAAGCGUGGGGAGCAAACAGGAUUAGAUACCCGUGUAGUC
This 440-nucleotide ribosomal RNA is filed under the name uncultured bacterium. Its description in RNAcentral is "partial 16S ribosomal RNA". It matches the Rfam family "Bacterial small subunit ribosomal RNA", at positions 338 to 795 of the family's 1533-position model. The record is from RNAcentral.